GCCGAGCUCAAUUGUGAGAGUUUGUAACCCAAGUGGGGGCAUCAAGGUGAUGUCGACAUUUGUAGCGCUGCGGGCCUGGUCUGGGAAUGCUAUUGCUGACCCGCUCGUUCCAAGUUGCGUAGUGGACCGCUUGGGGUCUAUACGAAAGCUGGGCCUCAUGGUCCAUAAUGUGGCAGGCACAGCGUGAGGCUGGCUUCAUAGAGCAGCGACAACUGCCCGCUUCCAACGGUGGAAGGAUAACGGGCCGCUGCACUCCUAGGCCGCUUGGGCCUCGUAGCCUACUCCAGCGAACCAUCACAUUU
RNAcentral lists this signal recognition particle RNA (302 nucleotides) under Triticum aestivum (bread wheat). RNAcentral's name for it is "SRP RNA Plant_SRP". It matches the Rfam family "Plant signal recognition particle RNA". Lineage: Eukaryota; Viridiplantae; Streptophyta; Magnoliopsida; Poales; Poaceae. The record is from Rfam by way of RNAcentral.